Long non-coding RNA from Cyprinus carpio (common carp), 1001 nucleotides. The record is from Ensembl. NCBI's taxonomy places the organism in Eukaryota, Metazoa, Chordata, Actinopteri, Cypriniformes, Cyprinidae.
GGGAUGAGGGAUUUAUUCAGCAAGGAUGCAUUAAAUUGAUCAAAAGUCACGGUAAAUUAAUUUAUAAUUUUACAAAAGAUCACUAUUUUAAAUGAACGCUGUUCUUUUGAGCUUUCUAUUUGUUUAAGAACCCUGAAAAAAGUAUAGUUUCCACUCAAAUAUUAAGCAACACAACUGUUUUCAACAUUGAUAAUAAAUAAAUAAAAAUAAGAAAUGUUUACUGAGCAGCAAAUCAGCAGAUUAGAAUGAUUUCUGAAGGAUCAUGUGACUGAAGUCUGAAACUUGCUAUUCAUCUAAAUGCACUUCUACAAUCAACAAAAACUUUAAGCCGCUUUAAGGUAAAAACAAAACGUCUGCCAGCUCAGCGUCUCUCUAAAAGUGUUCUCCAUUCAUUUGAUUUGUGCUCUGGUGACAUCUGUGAAGAGCCCACACACGCACGCUGGCCUUGCGCUAACAGAUUUGUCCUCCAUUAAGACAUAAAGAGUGUCUCUCUGUGUCUGACAGGGAUUCUCUCAGAGAGCACAGAGCUAGCUUGUGCCUGCAUACGGGUGCGCAGCAGAGCCCAGGGAGAGCUGGCGAAGUGCCUGCGCCUGCUGGAGAAAGUCCUGAGGGCCAGCAGGAACAGGACGCCGGGGUUAGGACUGUGUUUCAGCGUAUCGAAAGGUCAGUGGCAGAGUUAAACAGUCCCUCCAGUCCUCUGUCAUCAAUGCUUGAAGACCAGGAAAUCAGACAGCAUCAAACCAGAGGGGUAAUGAACACAAAAACAUCCUGCGCAGAUCCCAGACCAAAAAUAAACUCUAUUUCUGUGAAGAAGAAAAAAAAGAAGUAAUAUGACAGUGUUAAAUGGACAACCUUUGUAAGAUGUUCUUCUCCUCAUUAGAGAUGUCCAUUCCCUGCCCAGCCUGUGACUGUUUCAUCUCAGACGCAUCCAGAUGGCCAAACAGGAGCAGAACAUGAAAGCAACUCAUUAGCUUUCAGUGAUACGGCUUAAUCAAACCCGG